UACGGGGGGGGCAAGCGUUGUUCGGAUUCACUGGGCGGAAAUGGUGCGUAGGCGGUCGGGUAAGUCUGAUGUGAAAUCUCACAGCUUAACUGUGAAACUGCAUUGGAUACUAUUCGGCUUGAGAGUUGGAGGGGGGACUGGAAUUCUUGGUGUAGCAGUGAAAUGCGUAGAUAUCGUCAGGAACGCCGAUGGUGAAGACAGGUGACUGGGCUAGUUCUGACACUGAGGCACGAAAGCGUGGGGAGCGAACGGG
This 253-nucleotide ribosomal RNA is filed under the name uncultured bacterium. RNAcentral describes it as "partial 16S ribosomal RNA". It matches the Rfam family "Bacterial small subunit ribosomal RNA", at positions 524 to 776 of the family's 1533-position model. The record is from RNAcentral.